This 301-nucleotide ribosomal RNA is filed under the name uncultured bacterium. RNAcentral's name for it is "partial 16S ribosomal RNA". It matches the Rfam family "Bacterial small subunit ribosomal RNA", at positions 509 to 807 of the family's 1533-position model. The record is from RNAcentral.
CAGUCGCCACGGUAAUACGUAGGGUGCGAGCGUUAAUCGGAAUUACUGGGCGUAAAGCGUGCGCAGGCGGUUAUGUAAGACAGAUGUGAAAUCCCCGGGCUCAACCUGGGAACUGCAUUUGUGACUGCAUGGCUAGAGUACGGUAGAGGGGGAUGGAAUUCCGCGUGUAGCAGUGAAAUGCGUAGAUAUGCGGAGGAACACCGAUGGCGAAGGCAAUCCCCUGGACCUGUACUGACGCUCAUGCACGAAUGCGUGGGGAGCAAACAGGAUUAGAUACCCCCGUAGUCCCUGUCUCUUAUAC